This is a long non-coding RNA of Gallus gallus (chicken), 2074 nucleotides long. RefSeq lists it as uncharacterized. The transcript is spliced from 3 exons. Lineage: Eukaryota; Metazoa; Chordata; Aves; Galliformes; Phasianidae. The record is from RefSeq and is a predicted model, not a curated record.
AUCUCUGCUUCGGACAGGAACUGCAGGGAAGGCGCAGGGAGCAGUACGCAUGCACGGCUGGCACCGAGCAGGCCUGCAGGCAAAGCUGGGGGCUGCAGGUGCUCCAUCACCACCUCCCCCAGACCUGUGCAGCUCUCUGUCCGUGCAGGGGGACCUGUGCUGUUGCUGCUGGAUCACAUGGGGUAUGGGUGGAGCAGGAGUGCUAAUCCCUUAUUGAGCAAAACACCGCAAAAAGCAGAGGAUUGCCACAUUGCUGGGCCAGCUCAUUGGGGCCUUUUUCACCUUUCUCAGUACAAUUCCCAUUUUACUAUGUGAAAAAGAAGAGAACGUCACACUGGGACCCCCUGCUUUCCUCCCAUGGAAAGCAGUCCCAUGGGCCUGGCCAGGGCUUUCACCCCAGCACCAAGAGCAUCACCUGAAAUGCAUGUUAAGAACUAAGAACACAUUCAUCUAAAGGGUUAUCACAGGACCUCUGAGGGCUGGCCAGCUGAAGUUAUUUGCCUAUAAAUCAUGCAAUUAGAGAAGAGGUAUUGCAUGCAUUACAAAGUAACUGAAGUCAGCAAAAUCUCCACCCAUGGAUCCACAAAAGGGACUGAAGCAGUUUGCUAUUCUAAAGAAGUGGAAGAAAGAAAUGGGAAAGUCAACUAAAUACAGACUUUGUUGCCCUCUACUGUUUACAUGGUUAACGUGCAAAGCAAAUUUUCUCUAGUUAACACAAACCUGAGAAUGCUGCAGUAACAGACAACAGAAGCCAAGAUUCAUGAUGGUAUGUAGUAUUUGGGAGAAAAAAAAAAUCUUGGGCUAGGAAGAGACUUCUGCAUUAAGAGUGCUCUAAAGAAAACACAACAGCCUUCACAAGGACAAAGCAUAGAAACAGAGGGCACCUUUCAGCAGCAAGCAAUGAAGCAAGGUCACAGUAAACAGGAACAGAACUCAACAGGCCUGAAUGCCAGAGCCACUGCCUAGCCAGUGCUGGAUGCUGUGAGCUCAUCAGUGCAAUUUUCAGGGCUGGAUUAGCCUUUACUAACCUUGACUAUGAAUUCAUUGUGCAAACAUCUGAUCUGGCAAGAGAGUAGCAAUGGUGGUUACAUACACUUCCUCCCAACAUGUACCAACCCAGGCCAGUGCUCCAGCUGACUUCAGUGCUGACAGUCCUGUCUGUUCUAGCUGAUGGCUACCUUAUGUGCUAUGGGUUUUGCUUUACUUCUUUUACCUCCAUUCUCCUUUUAGCCUUAAAAAAAAAAAAAAUCAGUGUUGACUUCACACAACUUUAUUGGCAGUUUCUACUGAAGUGCUUAUUAAUGACUAUACAAAAUACUGAGCAAUUCCUCUCCACCACUCAGACAAAAAGCCUGAACAGCCAUUUGUAGAGUGGAGAAAAAAAAAAAAAACAACAAAAAACAAUGCUGAAGGAGAGGGGAGCAAGGGGGAGAGCAAACCCCUUACCCUCUCCAAGCCUGUAAAACUGUAACGGGAAGAAAUAACACCCACAACCUGUAGCAGGCUGCAGAGACCUGCAGUCAAAGCCACUCCAGAGAAUCUCAGUGCAAGUAGGAGACUGUAUACACCCAACACACUGCAAAGGAACAGCUAAUCCCUGAAAAAAUGUCAAAGGCAUAGUGCUGCUUCCGUCAACAUCUGCACGUGCCACUUGCUCAAGCAGAUCUGCCUCCCAUUCAUGAUGACAAUCCCCUUGUGGCUCCCUGCUCUUUGCUUUUAGAGGAAAGAGAAGCCAGUUAUGAAUGGAAAGCAGUCCAUAAAAACAUUAACACACUCACUUUGUGAAGCUGAAACAUUACCUAGGUACCAAUUACAUAGCAGCAGUGACCGAGCGAGGUCUCAUAACCUCUCCUUAAGCACCACCUGCUCCUGACUGCGCUUUUCUUGCAAGGGUUCCUCAUACUGAUAGGAAGCAGCCUCCCCUCACUGUCUCUGCAUUGCUGUGGAGUGAAUUUGCAGUUAAAGACUUCGCCCUCCAGUGGAUGACACCCUCAACUGCCAUCUAGCUCAAAUGCAGCAAGAUUUAAGCUACUACAACUGUAAUGCUACCUUCACUGCUGUUAGAAGCAUAUCA